This is a long non-coding RNA of Populus trichocarpa (black cottonwood), 1291 nucleotides long. RefSeq lists it as uncharacterized. The record is from RefSeq and is a predicted model, not a curated record. The transcript has 2 exons. NCBI's taxonomy places the organism in Eukaryota, Viridiplantae, Streptophyta, Magnoliopsida, Malpighiales, Salicaceae.
CUAGGGACAUGUGGGUCUCUCCGAUGGAACUUCUCACAACCCUAAGAUCAUAGAUAGAAUGGGCAUGUGAAGGAGAAGGGAUGAUAUAUCCUUCAAAAGCUUCACGUCCACAUGCCUAUGGAAGAUGCUACAAAACAUCGCAUUGCUCUUCCUGACGAACAGGUAUAAGUUGCUUCAUCCUCAACCAUACACGCCUCCAUUAAUCUCAAAUCUCAGAAAUCUUGGAAGGGUACUUCCAUGGUGGGUACCAUUGCCAGGAGCUUGUCUCUACAUUUAAUGGCAUGAUUUUAUCUGGCCCCUGAUAUAUACUAGCAGCCCUAGCUAGAUCCCUUUAUACUUUGAACGUGACAAUUCAUUCUGGCACUGAGUGCUUUCCUCUAAUGAGUCCAGGCUCCUAGCAUGUAUGGAAGAGAUGACAUAUGGAUAGAUACAGUUGGUCAACCAAAUGUGGACGUCGUCAAGCUGGAUCACCAUCUCCUCCCUAACCAAGCCAAAUUUAGUUGCUUUAAGGACUAAUCUAUCACCAGUGAAUGCUACUUGACUCCGUAACAUUACGUUGAAAAAAUUGCUUUCAGAUGUCAGAAAAAACCAUCACUCUCGUUCAUACUUGUCACUUGAUAUGACUCUGUCCAACUUUGAUCAUCCAUUAUUCCAUUUGAUGCCAAUUAUCUCCCUCUACCAGAGGAUAUUUUGCAGUCUAUCAAAAGAGUUGAAAUCAGAGAAUAUAGAGAGAGAAAAUGUAUAUUACAAGAAUUGGGCUACAUGGGAUAUUAUAUUACUAAAAAAUAUUUAAUUCCGUAAAUGUUUGAGAUACUUCUUAACAAAUUUAUAACGUUAUUUAUAUUUGUUAUUUUUUUUUCUGUUGUUUCCAUCUGUGUUACAGGCUUGUUGUUUGUAAAUUCAAGCCUGACAAUGUAUUUCUGCUCGAUCCUUGUUGGAUAUUUGAGCUGAGUCUCUGCCACACCCUAGGGGGAGCGCAGAAGGGAAUUGUUUGGCAGUGAAAUGCACAGAUGCUGUUUGCAAUUAUCUCAGGUUGGGGGUAUGUACAGCUCUUUGCCUGGAGUGGAACAAAGGACUCCAUUUUGUUAUGCGGCCAAUAUACCUACUGUUCCUGCCCUGCGAAAUUAUAUAUUAUACUCAGACCUCGCUGAUGAGUUUUCUUUAAAUGAGAUUUAUGACAGCGUUUAGGGUUUCUCAGACCCUUUUCCUUUUCUGUCUUCCUAAUUUUUACCUUUAAAUCUUAAUUAUCAAGUUCAGGCUGCGUCAAUGUAUGUUUUAAACUCAGACCUCA